AGCCAAAUGAUUUAUAUAUUUGGUAUUUUCUGCUCAAUGGUUUAACUAAAUAGCCGCAGUACCUUGACUGUGCAAAGGUAGCAUAAUCAUUUGGCUUAUAAUUGAAGUCUUGUAUGAACGAAUUAUUGGGUAAUAACUGUCUGUUAAAGUUUAAUAGAAAUUAUUUAGCAAGUGAAAAUACUUGUAGAUAACUAAUAGACGAGAAGACCCUAGAAAUUUUAUAUAAUAUAGUGUGUUUAUUAUUAUUUUGUUGGGGCGACAGAAUAACAAAUAACUUAUUUUAUUUGAUUAGCACUAUUUAAUGAGAAAAAUUAAAUUACUCUAGGGAUAACAGCAUAAUUUUUAUAAGUUUGUGACCUCGAUGUUGGACUAGGGAUUUUAGUGUUUAGAAGACACUAAAACAAGCUCUGUUCGAGCUGUAUAUCCCU
Molecule: ribosomal RNA, 428 nt
Filed under: Xerotricha conspurcata
Lineage: Eukaryota; Metazoa; Mollusca; Gastropoda; Stylommatophora; Hygromiidae
Description: partial 16S ribosomal RNA
Rfam family: Bacterial large subunit ribosomal RNA
Source: RNAcentral